Molecule: transfer RNA, 75 nt
Filed under: Alphaproteobacteria bacterium
Lineage: Bacteria; Pseudomonadati; Pseudomonadota; Alphaproteobacteria
Description: tRNA-Thr
Rfam family: tRNA
About the family: Transfer RNA (tRNA) molecules are approximately 80 nucleotides in length. Their secondary structure includes four short double-helical elements and three loops (D, anti-codon, and T loops).
Source: RNAcentral
GCUGACGUAACUCAGUGGUAGAGUGCUAUCUUGGUAAGAUAGAAGUCGGAAGUUCAAUUCUUCUCGUCAGCACCA